CAAAUACUCCCUCCGUCCCAAAAUUCUUGUCUUAGAUUUGUGUAGAUAUGAAUGUAUCUAGUCACGUUUUAAUAUUUUGAUACAUCCAUUUCUAGACAAACCUAAGACAAAAAUUUUGGGACGGAGGAAGUAUAAG
RNAcentral lists this microRNA precursor (136 nucleotides) under Hordeum vulgare. RNAcentral's name for it is "microRNA MIR1122". It matches the Rfam family "MIR1120/MIR1122 microRNA precursor family". The record is from RNAcentral. Lineage: Eukaryota; Viridiplantae; Streptophyta; Magnoliopsida; Poales; Poaceae.